Molecule: ribosomal RNA, 522 nt
Filed under: uncultured eukaryote
Lineage: Eukaryota
Description: bacterial SSU rRNA
Rfam family: Eukaryotic small subunit ribosomal RNA
Source: RNAcentral
CCAGCUCCAAUAGCGUACGUUAAAGUUGCUGCAGUUAAAAAAGCUCGUAGUUGAACGUUCGGGUUCCGCGGGACGGGGCCGCCCCGCGAGGGACGGCGCCGCCCCGGGGCUCGUGAUAUCUUAUCUCGCCGCCCGUCGCGAGGCGGACGGAGGGAUGGAUGAGGUUACCUGGAAAAAAUCGGGGCGAUCUAGGCGGGCGAACCUCGCCAACGAACGAUCGGACAUGGGAUAACGGAAGAGGGCGUCGGCUCGACUUCGUCGGUUCCUCGGGGCCGAGGCACGUACGGUGAAUAGGGACGGUCGGGGCCGCCCGUACCGGGUCGUGAGAGGUGAAAUUCUAGGAUCGACCCGAGACGAACUGCCGCGAAAGCAUUCGGCAAGGACGCUUUCAUUAAUCAAGAACGAAAGUCGGGGGAUCGAAGACGAUCAGAUACCGUCGUAGUCCCGACCGUAAACGAUGCCGACCGAGGGCCCGGAGGAGUUACGUACGACCCUCCGGGCCCUCCCGCGAGAAAUCAGGAG